Molecule: ribosomal RNA, 253 nt
Filed under: uncultured bacterium
Lineage: Bacteria
Description: partial 16S ribosomal RNA
Rfam family: Bacterial small subunit ribosomal RNA
Source: RNAcentral
UACAGAGGGUGCAAGCGUUACUCGGAAUUACUGGGCGUAAAGCGCGCGUAGGUGGUUUGUUAAGUUGGCUGUGAAAGCCCCGGGCUCAACCUGGGAACUGCAUCCAAAACUGGCAAGCUAGAGUACGGUAGAGGGUGGUGGAAUUUCCUGUGUAGCGGUGAAAUGCGUAGAUAUAGGAAGGAACACCAGUGGCGAAGGCGACCACCUGGACUGAUACUGACACUGAGGUGCGAAAGCGUGGGGAGCAAACAGG